This 484-nucleotide ribosomal RNA is filed under the name uncultured bacterium. Its description in RNAcentral is "partial 16S ribosomal RNA". It matches the Rfam family "Bacterial small subunit ribosomal RNA", at positions 30 to 506 of the family's 1533-position model. The record is from RNAcentral.
UUGAACGCUGGCGGCAUGCCUUACACAUGCAAGUCGAACGGCAGCACGGGUGCUUGCACCUGGUGGCGAGUGGCGAACGGGUGAGUAAUACAUCGGAACAUGUCCUGUAGUGGGGGAUAGCCCGGCGAAAGCCGGAUUAAUACCGCAUACGAUCUACGGAUGAAAGCGGGGGACCUUCGGGCCUCGCGCUAUAGGGUUGGCCGAUGGCUGAUUAGCUAGUUGGUGGGGUAAAGGCCUACCAAGGCGACGAUCAGUAGCUGGUCUGAGAGGACGACCAGCCACACUGGGACUGAGACACGGCCCAGACUCCUACGGGAGGCAGCAGUGGGGAAUUUUGGACAAUGGGCGAAAGCCUGAUCCAGCAAUGCCGCGUGUGUGAAGAAGGCCUUCGGGUUGUAAAGCACUUUUGUCCGGAAAGAAAUCCUUGGCCCUAAUACGGGCGGGGGAUGACGGUACCGGAAGAAUAAGCACCGGCUAACUACGU